UUCUCUCAGCCUCAUGGACAAUGAGAGUCUGAUCGCUUCAGUUUCUCUAUUUUUUCCAGGACUGUUCGCUGAAACCACAAUCUCUACUAAAUAUGAUGAAGACAGUGGAACAGAAGUACAAUCUGUCACACCAACAUCUAUGGAUUAUGAAUAUGACGAUGUUCCUCUAGAACCAAUAGCUGGAGACACAAUCUCUCCUGAACAAGAUGAAGUCAGUGAAACAGAAGGACAAUCUGUCACACUCUCAUGUAACUAUGAGACAGCCAGUGGUUAUGCAAACCUUUUCUGGUACAAACAUCAAUCUGACCUUCAGGCUCCUCAGUUUAUACUUUGGAAAGAAGGAAAAGGGGGCUCAGAUGAACAUAUUCCUGAUAAACAGAAAUAUGGAUCCCAAACAUCAGAUACAUCAACUACAUUGACCAUCAGAGAGCUAACCCUGGCAGACACAGCUCUCUACUACUGUGCUGUAGACACACAGUGAUACAAAGUGUAGCAGAGGCUGUACAAAAACCUGAACACAGAUAUGUGACUCCUCUUCAAAGAGG
Stegastes partitus (bicolor damselfish) is the source of this 545-nucleotide non-coding RNA. Lineage: Eukaryota; Metazoa; Chordata; Actinopteri; Pomacentridae. The record is from the annotation of a RefSeq genome assembly.